RNAcentral lists this ribosomal RNA (711 nucleotides) under uncultured bacterium. RNAcentral describes it as "bacterial SSU rRNA". It matches the Rfam family "Bacterial small subunit ribosomal RNA", at positions 777 to 1500 of the family's 1533-position model. The record is from RNAcentral.
AUUAGAUACCCUGGUAGUCCGCACGGUAAACGAUGGAUGCCCGCCGUUGGGUAUUUUUAUUCAGCGGCCUAGCGAAAGCGUUAAGCAUCCCACCUGGGGAGUACGCCGGCAACGGUGAAACUCAAAGGAAUUGACGGGGGCCCGCACAAGCGGAGGAACAUGUGGUUUAAUUCGAUGAUACGCGAGGAACCUUACCCGGGCUUGAAUUGCAGAUGACGGAUCCAGAGAUGGUGACUUCCUUCGGGACAUCUGUGAAGGUGCUGCAUGGUUGUCGUCAGCUCGUGCCGUGAGGUGUCGGCUUAAGUGCCAUAACGAGCGCAACCCCUUUCGUCAGUUGCCAUCGGGUAAUGCCGGGCACUCUGGCGACACUGCCGCCGCAAGGUGUGAGGAAGGUGGGGAUGACGUCAAAUCAGCACGGCCCUUACGUCCGGGGCUACACACGUGUUACAAUGGGGCAUACAGAGAGUUGGUCAUGCGCAAGCAUGAUCGGAUCAUGAAAGUGUCCCUCAGUUCGGACUGGGGUCUGCAACCCGACCCCACGAAGCUGGAUUCGCUAGUAAUCGCGCAUCAGCCAUGGCGCGGUGAAUACGUUCCCGGGCCUUGUACACACCGCCCGUCAAGCCAUGAAAGCCGGGGGCGCCUGAAGUCCGUGACCGCGAGAGUCGGCCUAGGGUGAAACCGGUGAUUGGGGCUAAGUCGUAACAAGGUAAC